This is a long non-coding RNA of Triplophysa dalaica, 1469 nucleotides long. RefSeq lists it as uncharacterized. The transcript has 6 exons. The record is from RefSeq and is a predicted model, not a curated record. NCBI's taxonomy places the organism in Eukaryota, Metazoa, Chordata, Actinopteri, Cypriniformes, Nemacheilidae.
UAUUACAUGUUUUUUUUUCAAUAGUAACAAUGCUGUUCAGUGCACUGUAUGGAGGUAAAAAGGAACUAAUAAAAGUAGAUGGAGGAGAUUACACCAGUUUAAUGACUCAUGACGACACUGGUGUGGAGGGAGAUGAAGAUGUAUUCACUGACUUGCUGGAGGAGAGAUCACAUGAUAUCCUAUGGAGAGUUGUUGACAAAGAUUCAGGCAGGUGUCUGUGAUAUACGAACAUGCAAAUGGAUUUAAGGAAAUCACUUUUGUAUAUAUGUUUAAAGUUUAUAUUAAUUUUGUUUCCAGAAUGCGCAGUCCUUGAUUCUUCCUGUAGCCCACAAACUGACACUCUUUCAGUGUUGUCUGAGACGGAUGACAGUGCUGGACCAAGCUCCAAGAGACAUUGUCUUGGUGGAGAUUUUGAUGCAAAACAGUAUGUUAGAGACAUUGUAGAGGAAAAGGCAGGAGGACCUGCGAUUUUGGCUGAAUAUAGAGAUCAUGGAAAACUCACAGACUCAACAAGGCGACACUUAACAUUGUUGUUGCGCACAUUACCGACAAAGAAGGCCAUGUCCCUUCUAAAGAAACAAAGACUCGUUGUGCUUUGGGAAUUGUAACACUGUUCCCAUCCCUUAAGGAUCCAUACUCAAGAACUGGAUAUGAGCAUUUUUAUGACCCUAAGAGCAACCAAGGAUACAUAUCUUGGCGAUUCAAAACAGUUUCUCAGCAAAGCGAACACCACGCCGGACACCACAGUAAGAAGGAUGCUAGGUCAAGCGGAACUUCAGACAUUGAGGGCAGUGGAGGACCAACCGCUCAUAGAGAAACCUGCAACCAUUUGGAACUGCAGUUGGCGGGUGACCAAUGCAAAGAAGCGAUAUAUUUCAUGAAUCAUUGUGCAGAGAAGGACCUGAUUCUUGACAAGAUUCAAGCACAGACAGCUCCUUAUUCAUGAUGCAGCGAAGUCCAAUAUAGUGCUUUCAGUUUUUCCCAGAUUUCUCGACACUAAGAGAUUGAUACUUCAAGAUUUUGACAUCCAAUUUGGAACAGAAACAGCCUCCAGACUUCUUGAACAAUGGGAUAGUCUAAAGCCAAAGAUCAUUGCAGAAGCAACAACGCUUACUUCGACAUUGCAUCUGAACAGCCCGCUUUCAGAUGCCCAGGGUAACAGACAAGACGAGGAUUCACUUUCUGCCUUUGAUGAACUUUUUAAAGCAUACUUUGUCUUUAGCGUGUCUUUAAGUGCAAUGUAUUCAUUCAUCCAGACAACUAUCUACAAGAUAGAUCUUGGUAUAGUAUGUGAAACCCCUAGGGUUAAGGACCUACGAGCUUAACUUUUAAACUAGAUUAAAAAGUUUCGCUUCUUUGUUUGCAAACUGGCACAUUCUAAAAUUUAUAUUGCAAUAAUCGUACAUAUAUACUGUUUAUUUACUGAUUCUUGCACUUAUUCCUGAUGUCAGAAAACAGAGAAGUUAUGC